UGUCCCUGAUCUGGGUAGAGUGGCACCUGGUUGGUGGUGCUUGUCUCAUAUCAGUCAGGGAUAAAGCAACUCCUUGUUUAUCCCAGCUUGGCUUUUGGUCUGUGCCGGUGCCUGGUUCAUGCCCUGGAUACAUGG
RNAcentral lists this small nucleolar RNA (135 nucleotides) under Ailuropoda melanoleuca (giant panda). RNAcentral describes it as "Small nucleolar RNA SNORA48 (ENSAMEG00000021267.2)". It matches the Rfam family "Small nucleolar RNA SNORA48". Rfam says of the family: The snoRNA ACA 48 has been identified to guide pseudouridylation of the residue U3797 in the 28S rRNA subunit. Its host gene EIF4A1 (eukaryotic translation initiation factor 4A1) is shared with U67 and snoRNA mgU6-77 The record is from Rfam by way of RNAcentral. Lineage: Eukaryota; Metazoa; Chordata; Mammalia; Carnivora; Ursidae.